This 439-nucleotide ribosomal RNA is filed under the name uncultured bacterium. RNAcentral's name for it is "partial 16S ribosomal RNA". It matches the Rfam family "Bacterial small subunit ribosomal RNA", at positions 339 to 795 of the family's 1533-position model. The record is from RNAcentral.
CUACGGGCUGCUGCAGUGAGGAAUAUUGCACAAUGGGGGGAACCCUGAUGCAGCAACGCCGCGUGGAGGAUGACGCAUUUCGGUGUGUAAACUCCUUUUAUAUGUCAAGAAAAUGACGGUAGCAUAUGAAUAAGCACCGGCUAACUCCGUGCCAGCAGCCGCGGUAAUACGGAGGGUGCAAGCGUUACUCGGAAUCACUGGGCGUAAAGGACGCGUAGGCGGGUUGGAAAGUCAAGUGUGAAAUCCUACAGCUUAACUGUAGAACUGCACUUGAAACUUCUAAUCUAGAGUAUGGGAGGGGGAGAUGGAAUUAGUGGUGUAGGGGUAAUAUCCGUAGAUAUCACUAGGAAUACCUAAAGCGAAGGCGAUCUCCUGGAACAUUACUGACGCUAAGGCGUGAAAGCGUGGGGAGCAAACAGGAUUAGAUACCCUCGUAGUC